GACGAACGCUGGCGGCGUGCCUAAUACAUGCAAGUAGAACGCUGAAGACUUUAGCUUGCUAAAGUUGGAAGAGUUGCGAACGGGUGAGUAACGCGUAGGUAAACUGCCUACUAGCGGAGGAUAACUAUUGGAAACGAUAGCUAAUACCGCAUAACAGCAUUUAACCCAUGUUAGAUGCUUGAAAGGAGCAAUUGCUUCACUAGUAGAUGGACCUGCGUUGUAUUAGCUAGUGGGUGAGGUAACGGCUCACCAAGGCGACGAUACAUAGCCGACCUGAGAGGGUGAUCGGCCACACUGGGACUGAGACACGGCCCAGACUCCUACGGGAGGCAGCAGUAGGGAAUCUUCGGCAAUGGGGGCAACCCUGACCGAGCAACGCCGCGUGAGUGAAGAGGGUUUUCGGAUCGUAAAGCUCUGUUGUAAGAGAAGAACGUGUGUGAGAGUGGAAAGUUCACACAGUGACGGUAACUUACCAGAAAGGGACGGCUAACUACGUGCCAGCAGCCGCGGUAA
RNAcentral lists this ribosomal RNA (513 nucleotides) under uncultured bacterium. RNAcentral describes it as "partial 16S ribosomal RNA". It matches the Rfam family "Bacterial small subunit ribosomal RNA", at positions 28 to 523 of the family's 1533-position model. The record is from RNAcentral.